GACGAACGCUGGCGGCGUGCCUAACACAUGCAAGUCGAACGGAAAGGCCCUGCUUUUGUGGGGUUCUCGAGUGGCGAACGGGUGAGUAACACGCGUGUAACCCGCACCUGACUUUGGGGUAACUUCAGGAAACAGGGGCGAAUACCGGAUAUGAGAUCCUGCAGCACGGGGGGGGUCGGUAAGAUUCGGCGGUUGGGGCUGGACUCGCUGCUUAUCAGCUUGUUGGUGGGGUAGUGGCUUACCAAGGCUUUGAAGGCUAGCCGGCCUGAGAGGGUGGACGGCCACAUUGGGACUGAGAUACGGCGCAGAAGCCUACGGGAGGCAGUAGUGGGGAGUAUUGCGCAAUGGGGGGAAGCCUGAUGCAGAAGCGCCGCGAGCGGGAUGCCGGCUUUCGGGUUGUAAACAGAUUUCGCAGGAGAUGAAGAGUGAGUGACGGUAAUGGGUAAAGAAGCACCGGCUAACUACGUG
RNAcentral lists this ribosomal RNA (468 nucleotides) under uncultured bacterium. RNAcentral's name for it is "partial 16S ribosomal RNA". It matches the Rfam family "Bacterial small subunit ribosomal RNA", at positions 28 to 507 of the family's 1533-position model. The record is from RNAcentral.